AAGAAAUUAGUUUAAAAAAACAUUAAUUUGUCAAAUUAAAGAUAAUAUAUAUAUAUUAUUUCUUU
RNAcentral lists this transfer RNA (65 nucleotides) under Gargara sp. 16071360. RNAcentral's name for it is "tRNA-Asp". The record is from RNAcentral. Lineage: Eukaryota; Metazoa; Arthropoda; Insecta; Hemiptera; Membracidae.